RNAcentral lists this ribosomal RNA (96 nucleotides) under uncultured bacterium. RNAcentral describes it as "partial 16S ribosomal RNA". It matches the Rfam family "Bacterial small subunit ribosomal RNA", at positions 1386 to 1482 of the family's 1533-position model. The record is from RNAcentral.
CACACCGCCCGUCACACCAUGGGAGUGAUUUGUACCAGAAGCAGGUAGACUAACCUUCGGGGGUCGCUUGCCACGGUAUGUGUCAUGACUGGGGUG